Non-coding RNA from Pelobates cultripes (western spadefoot toad), 457 nucleotides. Lineage: Eukaryota; Metazoa; Chordata; Amphibia; Anura; Pelobatidae. The record is from the annotation of a GenBank genome assembly.
UAAGAAAAUUAUAUAAAGAGGGUAAGAAUUACAGGAUCCCACCACAGUGUUGCAAGUGAUUGCAAGGCUGUGUGGUCUAUCCUGAUAGCCUACUUCAGAGCUACAAAAUAGGGGGUAACCCAAAAUGAAAUGAAUUAGAGUAAGGGAGACCCCUGAAACAGGGGGAUCCCAAGAGGAGUAGCUCUGGUACAGAAAAAAAGGAAAAAUAGUAUUUAGAGGUAAAUGGAAUAAUAAAAGAGAGGGAGAAAGGAAAGGAAGGAUGCCAUAUAAUAAUGGGCAAAAGGGAUGAAGGGGGUAGAGAAACAAAAUCAGAGACAAGGUAACCCCUACUCCACCCUAAACCACCCACAGCUUGCAAAAGCAGGCAAUACUUGAGACUAACCAAUCCAAAGAGAGAGAAAAAUCCCCCCCCUUCUCUCACAAGCAGGCUCAAAUCUUGUGGGCAGUAGGGUCCUAA